AUUGAACGCUGGCGGCAUGCCUUACACAUGCAAGUCGAACGGCAGCACGGGAGCAAUCCUGGUGGCGAGUGGCGAACGGUGAGUAAUGUAUCGGAACGUACCUUUCAGUGGGGGAUAACGUAGCGAAAGUUACGCUAAUACCGCAUAUUCUGUGAGCAGGAAAGCAGGGGAUCGCAAGACCUUGCGCUGAUUGAGCGGCCGAUAUCAGAUUAGCUAGUUGGUGAGGUAAAGGCUCACCAAGGCGACGAUCUGUAGCGGGUCUGAGAGGAUGAUCCGCCACACUGGAACUGAGACACGGUCCAGACUCCUACGGGAGGCAGCAGUGGGGAAUUUUGGACAAUGGGGGCAACCCUGAUCCAGCCAUGCCGCGUGAGUGAAGAAGGCCUUCGGGUUGUAAAGCUCUUUCAGCCGGGAAGAAAUCACAUGGGUUAAUACCCUGUGUGGAUGACGGUACCGGAAUAAGAAGCACCGGCUAACUACGUG
This 483-nucleotide ribosomal RNA is filed under the name uncultured Rhodocyclaceae bacterium. Its description in RNAcentral is "bacterial SSU rRNA". It matches the Rfam family "Bacterial small subunit ribosomal RNA", at positions 30 to 507 of the family's 1533-position model. The record is from RNAcentral. Lineage: Bacteria; Pseudomonadati; Pseudomonadota; Betaproteobacteria; Rhodocyclales; Rhodocyclaceae.